UUUAAUGUUUGAUGUUCUAACGUUGGCCCGUUAUCCGGGUUGCGGACAGUGUCUGGUGGGUAGUUUGACUGGGGCGGUCUCCUCCUAAAGAGUAACGGAGGAGCACGAAGGUUGGCUAAUCCUGGUCGGACAUCAGGAGGUUAGUGCAAUGGCAUAAGCCAGCUUGACUGCGAGCGUGACGGCGCGAGCAGGUGCGAAAGCAGGUCAUAGUGAUCCGGUGGUUCUGAAUGGAAGGGCCAUCGCUCAACGGAUAAAAGGUACUCCGGGGAUAACAGGCUGAUACCGCCCAAGAGUUCAUAUCGACGGCGGUGUUUGGCACCUCGAUGUCGGCUCAUCACAUCCUGGGGCUGAAGUAGGUCCCAAGGGUAUGGCUGUUCGCCAUUUAAAGUGGUACGCGAGCUGGGUUUAGAACGUCGUGAGACAGUUCGGUCCCUAUCUGCCGUGGGCGCUGGAGAACUGAGGGGGGCUGCUCCUAGUACGAGAGGACCGGAGUGGACGCAUCACUGGUGUUCGGGUUGUCAUGCCAAUGGCACUGCCCGGUAGCUAAAUGCGGAAGAGAUAAGUGCUGAAAGCAUCUAAGCACGAAACUUGCCCCG
This 596-nucleotide ribosomal RNA is filed under the name Escherichia coli. Its description in RNAcentral is "partial 23S ribosomal RNA". It matches the Rfam family "Bacterial large subunit ribosomal RNA", at positions 2206 to 2801 of the family's 2925-position model. The record is from RNAcentral. Lineage: Bacteria; Pseudomonadati; Pseudomonadota; Gammaproteobacteria; Enterobacterales; Enterobacteriaceae.